This 281-nucleotide ribosomal RNA is filed under the name uncultured Bacteroidota bacterium. RNAcentral describes it as "uncultured Bacteroidetes bacterium partial 16S ribosomal RNA". It matches the Rfam family "Bacterial small subunit ribosomal RNA", at positions 28 to 310 of the family's 1533-position model. The record is from RNAcentral. Lineage: Bacteria; Pseudomonadati; Bacteroidota.
GAUGAACGCUAGCGGCAGGCCUAAUACAUGCAAGUCGAACGGUAAGGUCUCUUCGGAGAUACACGAGUGGCGCACGGGUGCGUAACGCGUAUGCAACCUACCUUUAACUGGGAGAUAGCCCCGAGAAAUCGGGAAUAAUACCCCAUAACAUUCAGAAGAUGCAUAUUUUUUGAAUCAAAGUUCCGGCGGUUAAAGAUGGGCAUGCGUGGCAUUAGCUAGUUGGUGAGGUAACGGCUCACCAAGGCGACGAUGCCUAGGGGUUCUGAGAGGAUAUACCCCCA